UCUGUUUAUUAGGAAAAGUCUUGUGAGUGUGCGUGAGAGUGGAGCCGGGUUUUCACCGUGUUGAGCCUCUGAGAACUCCGACUGGUUUUUCGUUUUGGUUUCGUUCGAAGGAUUAGGAUUUGAUUCGGAUUCCGGACCGAGGAGGUUCGGUGGCGAGCCAUUAGGACGAGCGAUUCAGACGGAACGGUGCAUGGUCUGGCCAACUGUGGGAUUCAUUCCGAGGAGCUUCUGACACCAUCUCACUUCACUUGUGACACAGAUAAGGACAUAACACAAAAAUCUACCCGGGUAGUAACCUUAAGAACUGAACUUUGAACAUUACACACACAGAACAUGAACAUAAACUGAACUCUAACCUUCUACAAAAGAAGGAGGGACACUUUCUUUUGAACUUUUUUUUCAUUUUUGAUUUAUUUUAUUAUUUUUCGACCAAUUAAAAAGAGCUCUAUUUUUCUGUAUAUUUUAUUUUCAUGCACUGCAAAAAUACUUACCUGUUAUGGCAAUAAAUGUCAACUAUUAA
Molecule: long non-coding RNA, 520 nt
Organism: Centropristis striata (black sea bass)
Lineage: Eukaryota; Metazoa; Chordata; Actinopteri; Perciformes; Serranidae
Exons: 2
Source: RefSeq, a predicted model, not a curated record